AUACUUAAUACGAAUACAAAAGGAUUUCCAUUAAAUCUAAAUAUUCCACUCGAAUAAAAACUUCUCUUCCAGAGAAACUGUACAUCUGAAAAAAAAAAAAAUUCAAUUCUUCUUUUUUCGCAGUCACGUCCAUCUGUAUCGAACUUUCUAUCGAGAUUAUUACGAGUACGUACAUACCAGGAGAAGAGAAUUUAUAAGGAAGGUGCACCGGUUCGAAGCAGUUCAUGCGAAUGAAAAAGAACUUAGAGAUCCUCGAGGCGAGAUCAAGGGUCGAUCUAGAUCAAGCAUUCAAGCUGAUCGACCGUUGCUGACCCAUCAUAUUUUCGGUGAAGUGGUUCGAAAGUUUUCAGGUCGAUUUGGCCACAAAUACGGUUUUAACCGGGGUUAAAAAGGAUUUUAAAUCUCUUCCAGCCUCGCAAACGGCACGAGCCUCGGUGGAUACCAGGCCUCCGGUUGGUCUGCAGUUGACCGUGAAUAAAAUAAAAGCCAUCGGAUGCGUGUUAAAAAACCCUCUCUGGACCAGAGGAAUCCAGAGGACUAGGAGGGUGGAAUUGUUGGACGAAGAUGGCGAAAGCGAAAGGGAAAGAGAUAUCUUUUCGUCGAUGACCCAUAACUGUCUUAUACAUGAGGACGUUUAAAGAA
Molecule: long non-coding RNA, 642 nt
Organism: Apis florea (little honeybee)
Lineage: Eukaryota; Metazoa; Arthropoda; Insecta; Hymenoptera; Apidae
Source: RefSeq, a predicted model, not a curated record